Molecule: ribosomal RNA, 253 nt
Filed under: uncultured bacterium
Lineage: Bacteria
Description: partial 16S ribosomal RNA
Rfam family: Bacterial small subunit ribosomal RNA
Source: RNAcentral
UACGAAGGGGGCUAGCGUUGCUCGGAAUUACUGGGCGUAAAGGGCGCGUAGGCGGGUGUUUAAGUCAGAGGUCAAAUCCCGGGGCUCAACCUCGGAACUGCCUUUGAUACUGGACACCUAGAGUAUGGGAGAGGUGAGUGGAACUCCGAGUGUAGAGGUGAAAUUCGUAGAUAUUCGGAAGAACACCAGUGGCGAAGGCGACUCACUGGCCCAUUACUGACGCUGAUGCGCGAAAGCGUGGGGAGCAAACAGG